Long non-coding RNA from Psammomys obesus (fat sand rat), 608 nucleotides. RefSeq lists it as uncharacterized. The transcript has 4 exons. The record is from RefSeq and is a predicted model, not a curated record. NCBI's taxonomy places the organism in Eukaryota, Metazoa, Chordata, Mammalia, Rodentia, Muridae.
CUGGGUGAGACCCCUGCCUCUGCCUCUCAAGGUCUGUGCCACUGAGCCUGGCUUCCAGGCUCUUCCGGAAAUGAAGUUCUGCUGAUGUCUCACUUUUAUUGAUGUACAUUUAUGUGACUUCUUCAGUCUCACUGGCCCAUGUGUUUCCUGCUGUCCUUGUACUGAUCGCUGUAACAGCUCUCGCUGCCCGUGUUUCCUGUCAGCACGGCAAGCGAGAGCUUAUAGAACUGUUAGAGGUAACUCUUAGGGUCUGUGGAUGGCACAUAUUGUGGAAGUGAAUUUUUGUGUGUGUGUUUAUUUACAGAAGAAGUCCUGAUAUCCAAGCAAAGGAAGAGCUGUGGAAGCACAUCCAGAAGGAACUUGUGGACCCAUCUGGACUGUCAGAAGAGCAGUUGAAAGAGAUCCCAUACACAAAAGUAGAGACUCAGGGUGACCCUGUCCGCAUCAGGCAUGCGCACUCGCCUCGGAGUUACAGGCAGUACCGCAGAUCCCAGUGUUCUGACGGAGAGCGGUCCGUCCUCUCGGAAGUGAACUCAAAAACAGAUCUUGUACCGCCGCUUCCGGUCACCCGUUCCUCAGACGCUCAGGGGUGCGGUGGCUUUACGGUU